This 522-nucleotide ribosomal RNA is filed under the name uncultured Glomus. Its description in RNAcentral is "SSU rRNA". It matches the Rfam family "Eukaryotic small subunit ribosomal RNA", at positions 569 to 1092 of the family's 1831-position model. Lineage: Eukaryota; Fungi; Glomeromycota; Glomeromycetes; Glomerales; Glomeraceae. The record is from RNAcentral.
AGCAGCCGCGGUAAUUCCAGCUCCAAUAGCGUAUAUUAAAGUUGUUGCAGUUAAAAAGCUCGUAGUUGAAUUUCGGGGUUAGUAGAUUGGUCAUGCCUCUGGUAUGCACUGGUCUCACUGAUUCCUCCCUCCUGAUGAGCCGUAAUGCCAUUAAUUUGGUGUUGCGGGGAAUUUGGACUGUUACUUUGAAAAAAUUAGAGUGUUUAAAGCAAGCUAACGCUUGAAUACAUUAGCAUGGAAUAAUGAAAUAGGACGUUCGAUCCUAUUUUGUUGGUUUCUAGGAUUGACGUAAUGAUUAAUAGGGAUAGUUGGGGGCAUUAGUAUUCAAUUGUCAGAGGUGAAAUUCUUGGAUUUAUUGAAGACUAACUACUGCGAAAGCAUUUGCCAAGGAUGUUUUCAUUAAUCAAGAACGAAAGUUAGGGGAUCGAAGACGAUCAGAUACCGUCGUAGUCUUAACCAUAAACUAUGCCGACUAGGGAUCGGAUGAUGUUAAUUUUUUAAUGACUCAUUCGGCGCCUUACG